Molecule: ribosomal RNA, 468 nt
Filed under: uncultured bacterium
Lineage: Bacteria
Description: partial 16S ribosomal RNA
Rfam family: Bacterial small subunit ribosomal RNA
Source: RNAcentral
GACGAACGCUGGCGGCGUGCUUAACACAUGCAAGUCGAACGGAAAGGCCCUGCUUUUGUGGUGUUCUCGAGUGGCGAACGGGUGCGUAACACGUGAGUAACCUGCCCUAGAUUUUGGGAUAACUUCAGGAAACUGGGCCUACUACAGGAUAGCAUACCCUCCUGCGUGGUGGGCGUUGGAUAUUUUCGGCGGUUGGGGAUGGAUUGGCGGCUUUUGGGUUUGCUGGUGGGGUAGUGGUUGACCAAGGCUUUGGCUGGUCGCCGGCAUGAGAGGGUGACCGGGGACAAGGGGACUGAGAUAGGCAGCAGACGCCUAUGGGAGGCAGCAGUGGGGAGUAUGGCACAAUGAGCGGAAGUCUGAGGAAGCAGCGCCGGGUGCGUGAUGACGGCCUUCUGGGUGUAAACCGCUGUCGCCUGUGACGAAGCGGGAGUGACGGUAAUGGGUAAAGAAGCACCGGCUAACUACGUG